This 523-nucleotide long non-coding RNA is filed under the name Fukomys damarensis (Damara mole-rat). RNAcentral's name for it is "lncRNA (ENSFDAG00000028545.1)". Lineage: Eukaryota; Metazoa; Chordata; Mammalia; Rodentia; Bathyergidae. The record is from RNAcentral.
GCUGAGUGGUGAACUUCCACCAGCCCCUCAGAGAUUCUGUCCCAAAGCCAGAUUGUGCCUGGCUCCAGGGAAAAGAUAUGCAUAUCCGGAACCAGCAACCACUCUGGAUAACAGCAAUCUUCACAUCUUCAGGAUAUUAAAAGAUCAGUGAGAACAAAUCAUAGAUUGUUAAUGUGGAGGAAAUGGUUACUGAGCCACAGCCAAAUUGUAUUGGUCCAACAAUAUCUUAAAACAUGGGCCCAGAUGUUGAUUUUGUGUUGCUGUUGAAAAUGUGAUAACUGUGGACCUGGGACAUGGGAGGAAAGUCCUCGUCCAGCAUCAACACUACUUGGGAUUAUGUUGAAAAGAAUAUGGUUAUAUAGGCAAGCCAAAGUUUGGGCACCCAUGGUCUGGAGGAAUGGAGAGUCCACUAACUGAGAGGAGAGAGGAAGAACUAUUCCUGAUGAUGGGCCAGGAAGCUGGGUGGAAGAAGAAAAGAGAUGAGGCUUUCCUUGAAAGACAAGAUUCCAUAAGACUUGGAUGA